GCCAGAUGUGAUAGCAUGGACCUGUAAUCCCAGCUAUCCAGGAGGCUGAGGCAGGAGGAUUUCUUGAGCCCUGGAGUUCUGGGCUGUAGUGCACUAUGUGGAUCGGCUAUCCACACUCAGUUUGGCAUCAAUAUGGUGACCUCCUGGGAGCAAGGGACCACCAGGUUGCCUAAAGAUGGGCAAACUGGUCCGGGUCAAAAAUGGAGCAGGUCAAAACUUCUAUGCUGAUCAGUAACAGGAUUGUGCCUAUGAAUGAUCACUGCAUUCAAGCCUGGGCAACAUAGCGAGACUCUGGUCUCU
Molecule: signal recognition particle RNA, 300 nt
Filed under: Pongo abelii (Sumatran orangutan)
Lineage: Eukaryota; Metazoa; Chordata; Mammalia; Primates; Hominidae
Rfam family: Metazoan signal recognition particle RNA
About the family: The signal recognition particle (SRP) is a universally conserved ribonucleoprotein. It is involved in the co-translational targeting of proteins to membranes. The eukaryotic SRP consists of a 300-nucleotide 7S RNA and six proteins: SRPs 72, 68, 54, 19, 14, and 9.
Source: RNAcentral